UCUUUGUCCGAAAACAUGAAGAGUUUUCGUGCAAAAAUAAAGUGAGCGGAUACGAGAGAUUUUUGCCUGUUCGAACACUCCGUGGGAAGCAUUUUUUGAAAUUUUUGACCGAACCUCUGCUUCAAAGGUUUCCUACAUAUCCUUAGCUAUAAAGGAAUCAGGUCAAUGUAGUUCGGGAAGUUUUGGUAGCUGAGACUACCAUGAAGCUGCGGUUUUGCUGUUACUGCUGUUGCUGCUGCUGAUACUGCCUACUGACCUCCUUAUUACCCCAUGACAAAAAUGAAGAAGCUAGACUAAGCUAUGAUCUAUGCUUUACAAAGAUUUAUUUUCAAACUUGAUCUUGUGACUGAUGUUGCCUCGUUGACUUGUAUUUUCCUCAGAAGUUCCUUUGUGGCUGACUUGAAUGGUAUUCUUUGAAAUGCUUUCCUUUCUUCUCCAGGCGGGCACCUGAUUGCUGAACCCUUUAAAUGUCUUCCUUUGACUAUUGUUUCCUUUCCUCUGUUCCCCAGGCGGGCUCUUGAUUAUUUGAAAUUUGAAUUGCUUCUUCCCUUCGUUCUCCAGGUGGGCUCCUGAUUGCUGAGACUCGAAAUGUAUUCCCUUGUUCUCUAGAUGGGCUCCUGAUUGCUGAAACUUGAAUUGUAUUCCCUUAUUCUCCAGGUGGGCUCCUGAUUGCUGAAACUUGAACUGCAUUCUCUUGCUCUCCAGGUGGGCUCCUGAUUGCUGAGACUCGAAUUGUAUUCCCUUGUUCUCCAGGUGGGCUCCUGAUUGCUGAAACUUGAAUUGUAUUCCCUUGUUCUCUAGGUG
RNAcentral lists this long non-coding RNA (804 nucleotides) under Nicotiana tabacum (common tobacco). Its description in RNAcentral is "long non-coding RNA (NTAB_LNC011664)". Lineage: Eukaryota; Viridiplantae; Streptophyta; Magnoliopsida; Solanales; Solanaceae. The record is from RNAcentral.